This 1287-nucleotide long non-coding RNA is filed under the name Nothobranchius furzeri (turquoise killifish). RNAcentral's name for it is "lncRNA (ENSNFUG00015011817.1)". Lineage: Eukaryota; Metazoa; Chordata; Actinopteri; Cyprinodontiformes; Nothobranchiidae. The record is from RNAcentral.
AUGGAAAGCCACAAUAUGUGCCAAGAGAUUGUUAGACUCAACGAACUGCUACACAGGGAAAGGUCUCUGAGACAUCACGAGAAGAAAGAGUUCGAAAAGCUGAAGGAAGAACUCAGAAACACUCGACGCAAGUUAAGAUCUUCACAAAAUCUACAAACUAACGGCGAUUUACAAGAAACGUCUGAAGGUCCAGAUGAAGAAACGAGUGUAAAAUAUUCACAUCUCUCUUCUGAGGAUGAACUGGAACUUGAUGAACGGAUAAAAACUCACGAAGAAACAAGGAGAAGUCAUGAAAUAAUGCAAAGCAUGAUCGCAGAAAGUGACUCUCAUCUGGUUUUGCAUAAGGAACUGUUAGCUGCAGAAAAAUCCAACGUUCUCGCUGCAAAACAGCAGGCGGAACAUUUUAAACAAGCGUUUCUUACAGAGAAAGACUCUCAUGAAGACACGAAGGCUACUCUUCAUAAAAAACUCAACCGUUUGACAGUGGAUUACGACUCUCUCAAGGUUUCACAUCAGGAACAGAUAAGACAAUAUGAAAUGAGUGUCCUCGCCGCUAAUCAAAGGGCUGAACAUUUAGAGCAGAAGCUUGAAGAAGAAAGAAAAGCUCAUUCAGACUCAGUAGAAGAAAAACUACAAAUGAUUAGAAAUCUGACUGCCCAGAAUCAAGAGCUCAGCGAACAGCUGAUGCAGCAGGAUUCGUCUGUCUUGAAAACCUCAUUUGAAGAACUGAAAAGGAGUUUUCAGAACGCGCUUGAGGAGAAAAAUGGUUCAUACCUUGAACUAAAAGAGAAACAUGAAGCUAGCAAGAAACGGGAACUGUGGUUAGAGAAGGAGUUAGAAAAUGAAAGGAAAGCUCAUGCAGACAAGUUAUAUGAAAAACAGAUCGUUAUUAGGUGUCUGACCGCUGAGAAGGAGGAAAUAAGAACACAGCUGAACCAGGAAAUCUCUCUGAUGAAGACGUCUAUCGAAGAGAUGACAAUUAGUUUUCAGAAAGAGUUGGAAGAGAAAAACGUUUUAUACCAGGAACAACAGACAAAGUAUGAAACUGAUCUAGCUAGCAUGAAAAAACAGGCAGAAGACCUUACGAAGGAGUUAGAACAUGAAAAGAAAAGUUGUUCAGACUCGUUAGAAGAAAUUCAAGAAGUUGUGAGAGGUCUGACCGACGAAAAGGAAGUGCUCACUGAUCGGCUGACUGAAAGUGGAUUUUUUUCCACGUUACAGUUUGUUUUUCUGAUGUUCUUUUCAUUUAUCGUGCUGUCACUGAUGUUUUUAAGUAAGUUUCAUUGA